CCUACGGGUGGCAGCAGUGGGGAAUAUUGCACAAUGGGGGAAACCCUGAUGCAUCUCCGCCGCUCCCCUUCCUCCUUCUUUCUUUCCUUCCCUCUCUCUCCUCCUUUAAGAAAAUGACGGUACCUGACUAAGAAGCCCCGGCUAACUACGUGCCAGCAGCCGCGGUAAUACGUAGGGGGCAAGCGUUAUCCGGAUUUACUGGGUGUAAAGGGAGCGUAGACGGCAGCGCAAGUCUGGAGUGAAAUCCCAUGGCUUAACCAUGGAACUGCUUUGGAAACUGUGCAGCUAGAGUGCAGGAGAGGUAAGCGGAAUUCCUGGUGUAGCGGUGAAAUGCGUAGAGAUUAGGAGGAACACCAGUGGCGAAGGCGGCUUACUGGACUGUAACUGACGUUGAGGCUCGAAAGCGUGGGGAGCAAACAGGAUUAGAUAACAUUGUAGUC
This 440-nucleotide ribosomal RNA is filed under the name uncultured bacterium. Its description in RNAcentral is "partial 16S ribosomal RNA". It matches the Rfam family "Bacterial small subunit ribosomal RNA", at positions 338 to 795 of the family's 1533-position model. The record is from RNAcentral.